Molecule: ribosomal RNA, 506 nt
Filed under: [Mycoplasma] phocae
Lineage: Bacteria; Bacillati; Mycoplasmatota; Mycoplasmoidales; Metamycoplasmataceae
Description: bacterial LSU rRNA
Rfam family: Bacterial large subunit ribosomal RNA
Source: RNAcentral
CUAUUAAACAAGAUAAGAGUUUUUGGUGGAUGCCUUGGGUCUGGAAGUCUAAGAAGGACGUGAUUACCUGCGAUAAGCCUCGGUUAGCUGGAAAUAAGCUGUUAUCCGGGGAUUUCCGAAUGGGGAAACCCAAUUGAGCUAAUCCUCAAUUAUCAUUUCGAUGAAUCCAUAGUCGAAUGAAGAGACACGCUGUGAAUUGAAACAUCUCAGUAGCAGCAGGAAAAGAAAAUAAAGAAUGAUUCCCUUAGUAGUGGCGAGCGAACGGGGAAAAGCCCAAACCAACAUUUGAUGUUGGGGUUGUAGGACUACUUACACGAAGUUAGACAAAACUUAAACAUAGCAGAAUAAGCUGGAAUGCUUAAACAUAGAGGGUGAAAUUCCCGUAAGCGAAAUGAAUAAGUCUUCAAGUAGUAUCCUGAGUAGGGCGGGGCACGUGAAACCCUGUCUGAACCCGCCGGGACCACCCGGUAAGGCUAAAUACUAACCAGACACCGAUAGCGAACUAG